This 379-nucleotide ribosomal RNA is filed under the name uncultured soil bacterium. Its description in RNAcentral is "bacterial SSU rRNA". It matches the Rfam family "Bacterial small subunit ribosomal RNA", at positions 26 to 388 of the family's 1533-position model. The record is from RNAcentral.
AGAACGAACGCUGGCGGCGUGCCUAACACAUGCAAGUCGAGCGAGAAAGUCUUCGGAUGAGUAAAGCGGCGGACGGGUGAGUAAUACGUAGGUAAUCUACCUUUCAGUGUGGAAUAACUAAGGGAAACUUUAGCUAAUACCGCAUUCGGUUUCAGAUCUUAUGGUCUAGAAAAUAAAGGGGGGUCUAAGAUCUCUCGCUGAUUGAUGAGCCUGCGUCCGAUUAGCUAGUUGGUAAGGUAAUGGCUUACAAGGCGACGAUCGGUAGCUGAUUUGAAGAGAAUGAUCAGCCACACUAGGAACUGACACACGGUCCAGACUCCGACGGGAGGCAGCGAGGUAGGGAAUAUUAGACAACGAAGGUACGGGGGAAACCCUGAGU